GGGGAAUCUUCCGCAAUGGACGAAAGUCUGACGGAGCAACGCCGCGUGAGUGAAGAAGAUUUUCGGAUCGUAAAGCUCUGUCUUUUGGGACGAAUGUAGACUGUGUAAAUAAUGCAGUUUAAUGACGGUACUAAAGGAGGAAGCCACGGCUAACUACGUGCCAGCAGCCGCGGUAAUACGUAGGUGGCGAGCGUUGUCCGGAAUUAUUGGGCGUAAAGGGCGCGUAGGCGGAUUCAUAAGUCUGACUUAAAAGUGCAGGGCUCAACCCUGUGAGGGGUCAGAAACUAUGGAUCUUGAGUGCAGGAGAGGAAAGUGGAAUUCCCAGUGUAGCGGUGAAAUGCGUAGAUAUUGGGAGGAACACCAGUGGCGAAGGCGACUUUCUGGACUGUGUCUGACGCUGAGGCGCGAAAGCCAGGGGAGUGAACG
RNAcentral lists this ribosomal RNA (426 nucleotides) under uncultured Propionispora sp. RNAcentral's name for it is "bacterial SSU rRNA". It matches the Rfam family "Bacterial small subunit ribosomal RNA", at positions 356 to 774 of the family's 1533-position model. Lineage: Bacteria; Bacillati; Bacillota; Negativicutes; Selenomonadales; Sporomusaceae. The record is from RNAcentral.